Molecule: ribosomal RNA, 114 nt
Filed under: Fukomys damarensis (Damara mole-rat)
Lineage: Eukaryota; Metazoa; Chordata; Mammalia; Rodentia; Bathyergidae
Source: RNAcentral
UGUCUACAGCCACACCACCCUGCACACGCCCGAUCUCUGAUCUCGAAACUAAGCAGGGUCUAGCCUGGUUAGUACUUGCAUGGGAGAAAAAGGGAAGAAAUAGGACAGUUACAA